Etheostoma cragini (Arkansas darter) is the source of this 216-nucleotide long non-coding RNA. RefSeq lists it as uncharacterized. The record is from RefSeq and is a predicted model, not a curated record. The transcript has 3 exons. Lineage: Eukaryota; Metazoa; Chordata; Actinopteri; Perciformes; Percidae.
AUCUCACAUUAGACGAAGCUGAGUGAUUUUUUUACGCUUCAAUCAUCUUUUCUCCGAGCUUCAGAAACCACAUUACAGUUUGUAGAUCAAAGAGAGAACAGAGGCGUGGACAGUUUUAAGAGUAGUAGGGGGUUUGCACACCGUGUUAACCACAUUUGCUACAAAUGGCUGUGGUACAAUAAGUAGAAGAUGCAUAUUUAGAUGUGAUAUAAAUUG